UGAGGAAUAUUGGUCAAUGGUCGCAAGACUGAACCAGCCAUGCCGCGUGCAGGAAGACGGUCCUAUGGAUUGUAAACUGCUUUUAUACAGGAAGAAACCCUCCCACGUGUGGGAGCUUGACGGUACUGUAGGAAUAAGGAUCGGCUAACUCCGUGCCAGCAGCCGCGGUAAUACGGAGGAUCCAAGCGUUAUCCGGAAUCAUUGGGUUUAAAAGGGGUCCGUAGGCGGUCUUAUAAGUCAGUGGUGAAAGCCCAUCGCUCAACGAUGGAACUGCCAUUGAUACUGUAAGACUUGAAUGCUUAGGAAGUAACUAGAAUAUGUAGUGUAGCGGUGAAAUGCUUAGAUAUUACAUGGAAUACCAAUUGCGAAGGCAGGUUACUACUAAGUGAUUGACGCUGAUGGACGAAAGCGUGGGGAGCGAACAGGAUUAGAUACCCUGGUAGUCCACGCCGUAAACGAUGGAUACUAGCUGUUCGGCGCAAGUUGAGUGGCUAAGCGAAAGUGAUAAGUAUCCCACCUGGGGAGUACGCACGCAAGUGUGAAACUCAAAUGAAUUGACGGGGUCAUAGCUGUUUCCUG
RNAcentral lists this ribosomal RNA (579 nucleotides) under uncultured bacterium. RNAcentral's name for it is "partial 16S ribosomal RNA". It matches the Rfam family "Bacterial small subunit ribosomal RNA", at positions 355 to 1376 of the family's 1533-position model. The record is from RNAcentral.